AACGAACGCUGGCGGCGCGCCUAAUACAUGCAAGUCGAGCGAGAAGGUGUAGCAAUACACUUGUAAAGCGGCGAACGGGUGAGGAAUGCAUGGGUAACCUACCCUCGAGUGGGGAAUAACUAGCCGAAAGGUUAGCUAAUACCGCAUACGUUUCCGGAACUUCGGUUUCGGAAAGAAAGCAAUACCGUGGGUAUUGCGCUCCUGGAUGGGCUCAUGUCCUAUCAGCUUGUUGGUGAGGUAACGGCUCACCAAGGCUUCGACGGGUAGCUGGUCUGAGAGGACGAUCAGCCACACUGGCACUGCGACACGGGCCAGACUCCUACGGGAGGCAGCAGUAAGGAAUAUUGCGCAAUGGACGAAAGUCUGACGCAGCGACGCCGCGUGGGGGAUGAAGGUCUUCGGAUUGUAAAGCUCUUUCGUGGGGGAAGAUAAUGACGGUACCCCAAGAAGAAGCCCCGGCUAACUCCGUGCCAGCAGCCGCGGUAAU
RNAcentral lists this ribosomal RNA (487 nucleotides) under uncultured bacterium. Its description in RNAcentral is "bacterial SSU rRNA". It matches the Rfam family "Bacterial small subunit ribosomal RNA", at positions 29 to 524 of the family's 1533-position model. The record is from RNAcentral.